Molecule: ribosomal RNA, 760 nt
Filed under: uncultured bacterium
Lineage: Bacteria
Description: bacterial SSU rRNA
Rfam family: Bacterial small subunit ribosomal RNA
Source: RNAcentral
GAUGAACGCUAGCUACAGGCUUAACACAUGCAAGUCGAGGGGCAGCAUUUCAGUUUGCUUGCAAACUGGAGAUGGCGACCGGCGCACGGGUGAGUAACACGUAUCCAACCUGCCGAUAACUCGGGGAUAGCCUUUCGAAAGAAGGAUUAAUACCCGAUGGUAUAAUCAGACCGCAUGGUCUUGUUAUUAAAGAAUUUCGGUUAUCGAUGGGGAUGCGUUCCAUUAGGCAGUUGGUGAGGUAACGGCUCACCAAACCUUCGAUGGAUAGGGGUUCUGAGAGGAAGGUCCCCCACAUUGGAACUGAGACACGGUCCAAACUCCUACGGGAGGCAGCAGUGAGGAAUAUUGGUCAAUGGGCGCAGGCCUGAACCAGCCAAGUAGCGUGAAGGAUGACUGCCCUAUGGGUUGUAAACUUCUUUUAUAUGGGAAUAAAGUUUUCCACGUGUGGAAUUUUGUAUGUACCAUAUGAAUAAGGAUCGGCUAACUCCGUGCCAGCAGCCGCGGUAAUACGGAGGAUCCGAGCGUUAUCCGGAUUUAUUGGGUUUAAAGGGAGCGUAGGUGGACAGUUAAGUCAGUUGUGAAAGUUUGCGGCUCAACCGUAAAAUUGCAGUUGAUACUGGCUGUCUUGAGUACAGUAGAGGUGGGCGGAAUUCGUGGUGUAGCGGUGAAAUGCUUAGAUAUCACGAAGAACUCCGAUUGCGAAGGCAGCUCACUGGACUGCAACUGACACUGAUGCUCGAAAGUGUGGGUAUCAAACAGG